Molecule: ribosomal RNA, 253 nt
Filed under: uncultured bacterium
Lineage: Bacteria
Description: partial 16S ribosomal RNA
Rfam family: Bacterial small subunit ribosomal RNA
Source: RNAcentral
UACGAAGGGGGCUAGCGUUGCUCGGAAUUACUGGGCGUAAAGCGCACGUAGGCGGAUUGGUAAGUCGGGGGUGAAAUCCUGGAGCUCAACUCCAGAACUGCCUUCGAUACUGGCGAUCUCGAGUUCGGGAGAGGUGAGUGGAACUGCGAGUGUAGAGGUGAAAUUCGUAGAUAUUCGCAAGAACACCAGUGGCGAAGGCGGCUCACUGGCCCGAUACUGACGCUGAGGUGCGAAAGCGUGGGGAGCAAACAGG